RNAcentral lists this ribosomal RNA (591 nucleotides) under uncultured bacterium. RNAcentral describes it as "bacterial SSU rRNA". It matches the Rfam family "Bacterial small subunit ribosomal RNA", at positions 441 to 1042 of the family's 1533-position model. The record is from RNAcentral.
AGGGAAGAAUAAUGACGGUACCUGGGGAAUAAGUCACGGCUAACUACGUGCCAGCAGCCGCGGUAAUACGUAGGUGGCUAGCGUUAUCCGGAUUUAUUGGGCGUAAAGAGAGCGUAGGUGGUUUUUUAAGUCAGUUGUAAAAUCUCCCGGCUUAACUGGGAGGGAUCAUCUGAUACUAUUGGACUGGAGUGCAGCAGAGGGAGUUGGAAUUCCCGGUGUAGUGGUGAAAUGCGUAGAUAUCGGGAGGAACACCAGUGGCGAAGGCGAGCUCCUGGGCUGCUACUGACACUGAGGCUCGAAAGCGUGGGGAGCGAACAGGAUUAGAUACCCUGGUAGUCCACGCCGUAAACGAUGGAGACUAGGUAUAGGGAGUAUCGACCCUCUCUGUGCCGAAGCUAACGCUUUAAGUCUCCCGCCUGGGGAGUACGGUCGCAAGACUAAAACUCAAAGGAAUUGACGGGGGCCCGCACAAGCAGCGGAGCGUGUGGUUUAAUUCGAUGCAACACGAAGAACCUUACCAAGACUUGACAUGUUGGAUGUAGCGAACCGAAAGGCAAGCGACCUGUUAAAUCAGGAGCCUUCACAGGUGCU